GGAAGUGGUAACCUACGCAGCUGCUCCAGGGAGUGGGCCGGAGUCUGUUUGCCCCGCUGGGACUCAGCGGCACCAGCAUCAUCGACCAUACUGGGACCAGCAGCCGCGGAGCGCGCUCGAGGCGGCUUUCGCAAGACCUCUUCCAGACCCAGGCGCGAAGCUCGGGCUCUCUUUUACCAUAUUCGACCCGCUCCGCCCCUUCCGGCGGCGCCUCGCACCGCGUCGGGGUGAGCGGGUGCAAGCGACGCCCCGGCAUAGCGGCACCAUUGGACACUUCCUGCGCUGCUUCAAUCGCCGGGAUUGCCUCUUUGACCUUGAACUAGUAUUCAUUUGGCCUCCUGUUGGGUCUCCAAUGCUCUCCUUCGUCAUCUCUGCUCGUAAGGCUGGAGUGUAGUGGCGUGGUGUUGGCUCACUGCAACCUCCACCUCCUGGGUUCAAAUGAUUCUCCUGCCUCAGCCUCCCG
This is a long non-coding RNA of Homo sapiens (human), 463 nucleotides long. Ensembl annotates it as OOEP antisense RNA 1. Its record names the gene OOEP-AS1. The record is from Ensembl. Lineage: Eukaryota; Metazoa; Chordata; Mammalia; Primates; Hominidae.